This 578-nucleotide ribosomal RNA is filed under the name uncultured bacterium. Its description in RNAcentral is "bacterial SSU rRNA". It matches the Rfam family "Bacterial small subunit ribosomal RNA", at positions 338 to 916 of the family's 1533-position model. The record is from RNAcentral.
CCUACGGGAGGCAGCAGUAAGGAAUAUUGGGCAAUGGACGCAAGUCUGACCCGGCCAUGCCGCGUGGAGGAUGAAGGUCCUCUGGAUUGUAAACUUCUUUUAUUUGGGAAGAAACCCGAUUUUUCUAAGUCGGUUGACGGUACCAGAUGAAUAAGCACCGGCUAACUCCGUGCCAGCAGCCGCGGUAAUACGGAGGGUGCAAGCGUUAUCCGGAUUCACUGGGUUUAAAGGGUGCGUAGGCGGGCAGGUAAGUCAGUGGUGAAAUCUCCGGGCUUAACCCGGAAACUGCCGUUGAUACUAUCUGUCUUGAAUAUCGUGGAGGUAAGCGGAAUAUGUCAUGUAGCGGUGAAAUGCUUAGAUAUGACAUAGAACACCAAUUGCGAAGGCAGCUUACUACGGAUAUAUUGACACUGAGGCACGAAAGCGUGGGGAUCAAACAGGAUUAGAUACCCUGGUAGUCCACGCCCUAAACGAUGGAUACUCGACAUCAGCGAUACACUGUUGGUGUCUGAGCGAAAGCAUUAAGUAUCCCACCUGGGAAGUACGAUCGCAGGAUUGAAACUCAAAGGAAUUGACGG